Molecule: ribosomal RNA, 1243 nt
Filed under: wastewater metagenome
Description: bacterial LSU rRNA
Rfam family: Bacterial large subunit ribosomal RNA
Source: RNAcentral
AACGCCGAAAACCCAAGGUUUCCUACGCGAUGCUCGUCAUCGUAGGGUUAGUCGGGUCCUAAGUCGAGUCCGAAAGGGGUAGACGAUGGCAAAUUGAUUAAUAUUUCAAUACCAACAUAUAAGCGCGAUGUGGGGACGCAUAGAGUUAGUCGAGGUCACUGAUGGAAUAGUGGCUCGAAGGACGUAGGUUGUUACUUAGGCAAAUCCGGGUAUCAUAAGACCGAGAUCUUACAGGCUCUUGACACUCUUCGGAGGAGAUGGAGAAUCGAUGAUACUGUCGUGCCAAGAAAAGCCACUAAGUUUAUUAUAUGUUGCCCGUACCGUAAACCGACACAGGUGGGUGGGAUGAGUAUUCUAAGGCGCGUGGAAGAACCCUGGUUAAGGAACUCUGCAAACUAGCACCGUAUCUUCGGUAUAAGGUGUGCCUACUUUGGUAUAUGGACUUGCUCCAAAAAGCUAAAGAGGUUGCAACAAAGAGUCCCUCCCGACUGUUUACCAAAAACACAGCACUUUGCUAACACGUAAGUGGAUGUAUAAGGUGUGACGCCUGCCCGGUGCUCGAAGGUUAAUUGAUGAUGUCAGCGCAAGCGAAGCAUUUGAUCGAAGCCCGAGUAAACGGCGGCCGUAACUAUAACGGUCCUAAGGUAGCGAAAUUCCUUGUCGGUUAAAUACCGACCUGCAUGAAUGGCGUAACGAGAUGGGAGCUGUCUCAACCAGGGAUCCAGUGAAAUUGUAGUGGAGGUGAAAAUUCCUCCUACCCGCGGAAAGACGGAAAGACCCCGUGCACCUUUACUACAGCUUGACACUGUAGCUUGGAUAUUCAUGUGCAGGAUAGGUGGGAGGCUAUGAUGACUAGACGCAAGUAGAGUCGGAGCCAUCCUUGAGAUACCACCCUUGAAUAUUUGAGUUACUAACUGCGAUGAGUUAUCCUCAUUCAGGACAAUGUCUGGUGGGUAGUUUGACUGGGGCGGUCGCCUCCUAAAUAGUAACGGAGGCUUACAAAGGUUAGUUCAAAGCGGAUGGAAAUCGCUUGUUGAGUAUAAUGGCAUAAACUAGCUUGACUGUGAGACCUACAAGUCGAACAGAGACGAAAGUCGGUCAUAGUGAUCCGGUGGUUCUGCGUGGAAGGGCCAUCGCUCAAAGGAUAAAAGGUACGCCGGGGAUAACAGGCUGAUCUCCCCCAAGAGCUCACAUCGACGGGGAGGUUUGGCACCUCGAUGUCGGCUCAUCGCAUCCUGGGGCU